This 253-nucleotide ribosomal RNA is filed under the name uncultured bacterium. RNAcentral describes it as "partial 16S ribosomal RNA". It matches the Rfam family "Bacterial small subunit ribosomal RNA", at positions 524 to 776 of the family's 1533-position model. The record is from RNAcentral.
GACAGAGGGUGCAAACGUUGCUCGGAAUCACUGGGCGUAAAGGGCGUGUAGGCGGGAAGGAAAGUCAGAUGUGAAAUCCCUGGGCUCAACCCAGGAACUGCAUUUGAAACUCCCUUUCUUGAGUGUCGGAGAGGAAAGUGGAAUUCCUGGUGUAGAGGUGAAAUUCGUAGAUAUCAGGAGGAACACCGGUGGCGAAGGCGGGUCUUUGGGCCGAUACUGACGCUGAGGAGCGAAAGCGUGGGGAGCGAACAGG